AGAGUUUGAUCCUGGCUCAGGACGAACGCUGGCGGCGUGCUUAACACAUGCAAGUCGAACGAGAACGCUCCUUCGGGAGUUAGUACAGUGGCGAACGGGUGAGUAACACGUGGGCAACCUGCCCUAGGGAGCGGGACAACCCGAGGAAACUCGGGCUAAUACCGCAUAAUUCGCAGUGCCUCAAGGCUCUGCGGGAAAUGGUAGCUUCGGCCUCCGCCCUAGGAUGGGCCCGCGGCGCAUUAGCUUGUUGGUGUGGGUAACGGCCCACCAAGGCGACGAUGCGUAGCUGGUCUGAGAGGACGAUCAGCCACACUGGGACUGAGACACGGCCCAGACUCCUACGGGAGGCAGCAGUGGGGAAUCUUGCGCAAUGGGCGGAAGCCUGACGCAGCAACGCCGCGUGUGGGAAGACGGCUUUCGGGUUGUAAACCACUUUCAGGGGGGACGAAGCUUCCGAGGUUAAUAGCCUACGGGGUGACGGUACCCCCAGAAGAAGCCCCGGCUAACUACGUGCCAGCAGCCGCGGUAAUACGUAGGGGGCGAGCGUUGUCCGGAAUCAUUGGGCGUAAAGCGCGUGUAGGCGGCUUGAUAAGUCUGGUGUGAAAUCUUGGGGGCUCAACCCCAAACCUGCACUGGAUACUGUCAAGCUUGAGUCCGGGAGGGGAGAGCGGAAUUCCUAGUGUAGCGGUGAAAUGCGCAGAUA
Molecule: ribosomal RNA, 703 nt
Filed under: uncultured bacterium
Lineage: Bacteria
Description: bacterial SSU rRNA
Rfam family: Bacterial small subunit ribosomal RNA
Source: RNAcentral